AAGCAUAUCAAUAAGCGGAGGAAAAGAAACUAACAGGAUUCCCCUAGUAACUGCGAGUGAAGCGGGAAGAGCUCAAAUUUUGAAUCUGGCAACCUCUUGGCUGUCCGAGUUGUAAUCUAGAGAAGUGCUACCCGCGCUGGACCGUGUACAAGUCUCCUGGAAUGGAGCGUCAUAGAGGGUGAGAAUCCCGUCUCUGACACGGACUGCCAGGGCUUUGUGGUGUGCUCUCAAAGAGUCGAGUUGUUUGGGAAUGCAGCUCAAAAUGGGUGGUAAAUGCCAUCUAAAGCUAAAUAUAGGCGAGAGACCGAUAGCGAACAAGUACCGUGAGGGAAAGAUGAAAAGAACUUUGGAAAGAGAGUUAAACAGUACGUGAAAUUGCUGAAAGGGAAACGCUUGAAGUCAGUCACGCUGCAGAGGAUCAGCCUUGCUCUUGCCUGGUGUAUUCUUCUGUUUGCGGGUCAGCAUCAGUUUUGGCUGCUGGAUAAAGUUCAUGGAAAUGUGGCACCUUCGGGUGUGUUAUAGUCUGUGGAUGUAUACAGCGGCUGGGACUGAGGUACUCAGCACGCCGAAAGGCCGGGUUUCGACCACGUUCGUGCUUAGGAUGCUGGCAUAAUGGCUUUAAUCGACCCGU
Molecule: ribosomal RNA, 631 nt
Filed under: Simocybe quebecensis
Lineage: Eukaryota; Fungi; Basidiomycota; Agaricomycetes; Agaricales; Crepidotaceae
Description: partial large subunit ribosomal RNA
Rfam family: Eukaryotic large subunit ribosomal RNA
Source: RNAcentral